RNAcentral lists this ribosomal RNA (253 nucleotides) under uncultured bacterium. RNAcentral's name for it is "partial 16S ribosomal RNA". It matches the Rfam family "Bacterial small subunit ribosomal RNA", at positions 524 to 776 of the family's 1533-position model. The record is from RNAcentral.
UACGAAGGGGGCGAGCGUUGUUCGGAAUUACUGGGCGUAAAGGGCGCGUAGGCGGCGACCCAAGUCAGAUGUGAAAGUCCUGGGCUUAACCUGGGGACUGCAUUUGAUACUGGAUGGCUGGAGUUUGGGAGAGGGAUGCGGAAUUCCAGGUGUAGCGGUGAAAUGCGUAGAUAUCUGGAGGAACACCGGUGGCGAAGGCGGCAUCCUGGACCAACACUGACGCUGAGGAGCGAAAGCCAGGGGAGCAAACGGG